UCUGGCGUAGUACCACCCCACGACGUCAACAACAUUACAAGAGGAGGAGAAGAACCCGAAAAUAGAUUUUGGGGUUUUUGGAACGCUGCCUCCUGCUUUGUCGCAGGUCAGUCGUUCAUACUGUUUAGUCACGCAACAUGUUUCAUACAGCAGCUGGUCGUUCAGGAUGUCGAUGGCUUUUAGUGAAAAAGGAUUUCGUGCAGGGAGUGUGUUCUUUGGGUAGACGAUCCAACAGCAAUGCACUAGCAGCUGCCCGUCAGCUGCUGGAAAACGAGCUGGAGUCGAUUCGCCAAGCUGGAACGUUUAAAAACGAAAGAGUCAUUACGUCCAAGCAAGCUGUCAGUGUCCAAGUUCAGGGACAACUUCAACCUCUGCUCAAUUUCUGUGCAAACAAUUACCUAGGCCUAUCGGUCCAUCCGGAUGUUAUUGAAGCAGGUAAAGAAGCUCUCGACAGGUAUGGGGCCGGCUUGAGUAGCGUGCGUUUCAUCUGCGGAACUCAAGACAUCCAUAAGACGUUGGAGAAGAAAAUUGCUGAAUUUCAUGGCCGUGAAGAUGCCAUUCUCUAUCCGAGUUGUUUCGAUGCCAAUGCUGGACUUUUCGAGGUCCUUCUCAGUCCCGACGAUGCCGUGAUUUCAGACGAACUUAAUCAUGCGUCCAUCAUUGAUGGUAUCCGGCUUUGCAAGGCUAAAAAGUUCCGUUACAAACACAAGGACAUGGCUGAUCUCGAGGAGAAAUUGAAAGAGAGUCAAAACGCACGAAUGCGCUUAAUUGUGACGGAUGGCGUCUUUAGCAUGGAUGGUAACGUGGCUCCAUUGAAAGAAAUCAGCCAACUAGCUGACCAAUAUCAAUCAAUGAUCUUUAUCGACGAGUGUCACGCCACGGGCUUUUUUGGAGUUACCGGCAGAGGAACGGAAGAAUAUUUUGGUCUCACCAACCGAGUUGACAUCAUUAAUUCAACUUUGGGCAAAGCCUUGGGUGGAGCUGCUGGUGGCUACACGACUGGCCCCAAAGAAUUGAUUCACCUUCUUAGACAACGAUCACGGCCUUACCUUUUCUCCAAUUCACUUCCGCCGCCGGUUGUCGCCGUUGCUCAAAAGGCACUGGAAUUGGUUAUGGGAGGGUCAGGUUUAUCGCAAAAAGUAGCAGCUAACACGGCACGUUUCCGACAAGGAAUGUCAUCAGCUGGAUUUCAAAUUCUGGGCGAAAAUCAUCCCAUUUGCCCCGUAUUUCUAGGAGAUGCUAAACUGGCUGCUACCAUGGCCGAAAAAAUGUUGGGUAGAGGCAUCUACGUGAUUGGAUUUAGCUACCCUGUCGUGCCUAAAGGAAAAGCACGAAUUCGCGUGCAAAUCUCUGCGGCCCAUUCGUUUGACGACAUCGACCGGACCAUCGAGGCCUUCAUCGCAGUUGGCCGUGAGCUGAACGUCAUCCACUAGAGAGAGAAGGAAAAAGAAAAUGUUAAUGAUAAACAAAACCUCACACGCCAAAGAAAAAACACGAAGUUUACCCAUCUACCAAUGGCGAAACUUUAAAAACAAAAAUGAAACUGUAUUUUGAGCGCGACAAAAAAGACAAAGCUAUUAUUUUAAAAGACUAGUUAAUAUAAAGGUGGGGUGCACCGGGGUCAUUUUGUUCUUCCCAAGGAUCCGUUAGUUAUUUGUUGGAUGAGUUCCAUGGCGUAACUGAGAGUUAAGGUCGUGUUUAUUUGCUGAGCCUCCAAUUUCACUAGGGCAUUCUGCACAGCAUCCAUCCUUUGAGGAACAUUAGCUGCCGGAAUUUGAGAAGAGAGACGUUCCGUGGUAUUUUGAAGUGAGGUAAUCAUUCCCUGUGAAAUUUUACGAUAAUAGAAAUCACAACAAAUAGACACUUUUUUCACUUGUCAUAUACGUGAUGAUGGUGCAAAUCUUCGGAGAUUGUGUCCAGUCGACCCUGCAGCGUCGAGUUGAAGGUUUCUAGUACUGCCGUUGGCAAUUCUUUUAGAUCGGCCAGUCCGAGCUUCAAAUCGGAUAUUGUAGCACCAUAAGUGGCCAAAGAGGACUUUAACGAAUCAAGCUCUUUGCCAAUGUUCAACAUUUGAGGGGCCUCUUUUAGACUGUCUUUAAUGUUGCUGACGUCAGUCGUCAUCGACGUCAUUUGUUGACGGAUGUCCUCCAAACCUCUCGAAUAAUUCUGAAGGACGUAAAAGUGGUAAGACUGAUUCAAAGUCAGCUCCUUAAUGGUUCUCUUCAGCCCCAAAAUGGUUUCAUCAUCAUAAGAGGCAGGAACUGAAAAAAGCACUCACAAUGAAUAUACAGCCUAGGGAACAAUGAAAUGUUAUUGUCUACCACUGGCCAGUUUCUCAGAGAGUUGUUGUACUUCUGUGUGAAGCAGCAUGACUAUCCAACCGAGGACUAAAGUGCCUCCUACGGCAAAUGAUAUGCAGGCAAUUUUUAACACAUUGGAAUAGGAGCAAGACAGUUGGGAAAGCGAAGGAGAAUGAGAUCCAUUUCCAGUCUCACCUCGCCUUUGCUUCCUACUAAGCGCAAAAAUGCAAAGAAUCAUGGUAUUGAUAAAUUAAAAAAAUUACUCCUGAUUUUACCUUUUUGUUCGAAUCUUUCGCCUAACUUGCACAGUCGGCUGAGGGGCCAAUGAAAAUUGCAAAUCAGAUGCCGAGUCGCUGUCACUGCUGGCGGCGUUCAGCAGUUGAAUGGCCUCUUUAUUCAUUUCGUUGUUAUUCAUCUCGGCGUCCGGAGACAGGGACGAAUAUGCCGACUCAUGUGUUCCCGCUGUGAAUGCAGAGGGGUGUGUAUAUAAAUUUCAGCAUGAGAUAAGAAAAUAACACACAAGAUUAAGAUUCUCUUUCAUUUGACGAAAUUCAUUCGCAGCAGAAGACGAAUGAUGAUAACAACAGCUGGAAGAGACAUCUAGCGAACGAGAAUGCCAUCUAGCGUCAAGUAUGACAAUGGAUGAAGAGUGCAAUGAACCGUCAGUGGGCUCGAGAGGACGCAGCAGUCGUAAGAUUUGAAAGGGAUGAAACAGACGAUGGGUGGAGGAAUUCAGGUCGUGAAAUUCUCCUACGAUCAACUCAUUUCGUUUCUUGAGUCAAGCUCGUGAACUUUUCAUCUUGAAUGAGGCAGCAGCAAGAGGGAAAGUUGAUUAUAUCUUGACUAACACCGCCUACAACUACUACUACUACUACUAGUUCUACUACAGCAUACAGUUAAUGAUUUGAUGAUCUACCGAAAAAUUGCGAGGCCAUAUUCAAUUGCAACCAUGGUUGAUGAUGAUUAUGUGGAUAAUGAUGAUGAAUACCACAAAAAGUUGUGAAAAAAGUCCUUGGCAGUAAUCAAUUUUUUCUUGUCCGGAUUCCUUUCCGUCACCCCCAACUGCAGACGAAUCUUUUACCAACAACCAGUUUUUUUUUUUUUUUUUUCUAAAUUAAAAAAAGAUGGCCGCUGAUAAUAGAGGCUGGUCGUUUACAGGUGCAGCAGCCCAAAACAAGAAUCUGCAAACAGUUGUCUCUCUCUGCAUACAAGAAGACGAAGAAGAAGAGAGAAAGACGAAGAUGGUGUUCCGCUUUUUUUUGUGUGUGUGGUAGUUGCUGUUCCAGUGUUCCAGUGCUUCUGGCGCUGAGAGAGAGUCACACACACACACUCACACACACCAAAGUUACUAUACCAGCCCAGCAGGUAGUAAAGGUAGUCGGUAACCAAACGUCAACCGGUUCGCACGCACGCGUAUUUUUUUCGUGCUGUUGUCAGUGUGGUUGUGCAUAUUUUCUCCCCUAUAGCCAUUUUUUCGUGUCUUUUCUCCAUAUUUUCAUUACAUUGUUUUUAAUUAGUAGUUCUGCUACUGCUGCUGCCCUCUGUGUCUGAUUUCAUCGUGCAUCCACCCCUUUUUUCCUUUUCCCCAGUCGACUACAAAAGUCAGUUCGUGGAAUUCGAUCAAUUGACGUUCGCCAAUAGUUUGUGUCAAUUGGAAUUCCAGUGCCGUUGGGGAGGGGACCGAAUUGAAAAAAGUACAUUUCAUUCCGUCAGUGUAAAGAACCACACAUCAACGAGUGUUGCAUGCGUGUGUGAGUGUCUAUGUGUUUGUGGGGUGAAAAGAAGUGCCUCGCGGGGGUGAUAAAUAACAACGGAACGCUUCCGGCCGCUGGAACGAUGAUGGCCUUGUUGUUAUUGUAGUGGUAUAGGGUUGGCCAUUUUUUUUUUUUUUAAUUCUAAAACAAAACUAAAAAAACAAAAAGAGAAAAAAAAAUAAUAUUA
This 4241-nucleotide unclassified non-coding RNA is filed under the name Daphnia magna. Its description in RNAcentral is "2-amino-3-ketobutyrate coenzyme A ligase, mitochondrial, transcript variant X4". The record is from RNAcentral. Lineage: Eukaryota; Metazoa; Arthropoda; Branchiopoda; Diplostraca; Daphniidae.